This 406-nucleotide ribosomal RNA is filed under the name uncultured bacterium. RNAcentral describes it as "partial 16S ribosomal RNA". It matches the Rfam family "Bacterial small subunit ribosomal RNA", at positions 30 to 526 of the family's 1533-position model. The record is from RNAcentral.
AUUGAACGCUGGCGGCAGGCCUAACACAUGCAAGUCGAACGAGUGGCGGACGGGUGAGUAAUGUCUGGGUAACUGCCCGAUGGCGAGGGAUAACUACUGGAAACGGUAUGUAAUAACGCUUACCAUCGGAUGUGCCCAGAUUGGAUUAGCUGGUUGGUGAGGUAACGGCUCACCUAGGCGACGAUGCCUAGCUGGUCUGAGAGGAUGACCAGCAACACGGGAACUGGGAUACGGUCCCGACUCCUACCGGAGGCACGAGUGGGGCAUCUUCCACAAUGGGCGCAAGCGUGAAGCAGCCAUGCCGCGUGUAUGAAGAAGGCCUUCGGGUUGUAAAGUACUUCACGCGUCGAGGCGUUACCCGCAGAAGAAGCACCGGCUAACUCCGUGCCAGCCGCCGCGGUAAUAC